GCUAUUUUAUCGGUUUUUAUGCUUUUCAUCAUCUGGGGUUGUUGAAAAAUUGAGUCUUGGAGAAGUGGGGUGGAUGUUUUUUUGGAAAUUUUCUGUUGCCCCUUUGUGUAUUUCCUUCUUUUUGAGUGAAUUUAGGGAAGUGGGGUUUUGAUUAUUUGUUUGAUUUUAGAGGUUUUUGGUGAUUUUAAGGUGAAGGGUAGAGAAAAG
Molecule: unclassified non-coding RNA, 207 nt
Filed under: Hevea brasiliensis (rubber tree)
Lineage: Eukaryota; Viridiplantae; Streptophyta; Magnoliopsida; Malpighiales; Euphorbiaceae
Source: RNAcentral